This 253-nucleotide ribosomal RNA is filed under the name uncultured bacterium. Its description in RNAcentral is "partial 16S ribosomal RNA". It matches the Rfam family "Bacterial small subunit ribosomal RNA", at positions 524 to 776 of the family's 1533-position model. The record is from RNAcentral.
UACGUAGGGGGCUAGCGUUGUUCGGAAUUACUGGGCGUAAAGCGCUCGUAGGCGGCUUUCUAAGUCGGGGGUGAAAUCCUGGAGCUCAACUCCAGAACUGCCUUCGAUACUGGAGAGCUCGAGUCCGGGAGAGGUGAGUGGAACUGCGAGUGUAGAGGUGAAAUUCGUAGAUAUUCGCAAGAACACCAGUGGCGAAGGCGGCUCACUGGCCCGGUACUGACGCUGAGGUGCGAAAGCGUGGGGAGCAAACAGG